This is a long non-coding RNA of Salvia splendens (bonfire salvia), 1839 nucleotides long. RefSeq lists it as uncharacterized. The transcript is spliced from 6 exons. Lineage: Eukaryota; Viridiplantae; Streptophyta; Magnoliopsida; Lamiales; Lamiaceae. The record is from RefSeq and is a predicted model, not a curated record.
ACUACAUCUUCCGUCAUUAGUCCAGUCGUCCAAAUCCUGGACACUGGGAAUCUCGUCUUGUAGGAAGAGGCCUCGGAAGACAAGUUGUGGGAGUCUUUCUCACAUCCUACGGGUGUUCAGGUGCCCGGAAUGCCAUUAAGCCAGAACGUAAGGAAAGGGAAGCAGGUGCUGGUGACGGCAUGGAAAAGCGCCACAGCUUGUCACGUGGGACGAGGGGCGGGCACUGGAACGGCCUGAUAUAUUUAUCGGGAUAAAAGAAAUGUUCUACGCCUACUUAGAUAUGUACUUUCAAGUGAACAAUGAUAGUGCUGGCAAUUUCUUCUACACAAGGCCGCGGAAUGAUGCGCUAUUAACAAUCACCAUGAUUGAUUCUUCAGGAAUUGCGAUUCGGAAGGUGUGGAAUGGCGUGGAGAAGAGAUGGGACACCGGGGGGCGUAUCCUGAAAACGAGUGUGAUUUUUUAUGGAAAGUGUGGGGUGUUUGGUAGCUACAAUGCUCCGGAUUUGCCUAUUUGUAGUUGUUUCAGAGGGUUUGAGCCGGUAAAUGAGGAAGAAUGGGGGAGAGGGAAUUGGACUAAUGGAUGCAGGAGGAGGAACCAGUUGCAAUGUGGAGAAGAUGGAUUUGAGAGGUUGAGGCAUAUGAAGGUUCCUGACUUUCUCCUAAGCCCUCGUAUUCUAGGGUUCAAGAUGAAUGCCGAACUAGAUGUCUCGGGAACUGCUCCUGCAUAGCUUAUGCUUAUGAUGGUAACAUUGGUUGUAUGUUUUGGAGUGACACCUUGAUUGACACUCAGGAGUUUGACGGCGUUGGUGUUGACCUCUACGUUCGUCUGAAUUCGAUAGCCACAAGGAGAGAAAGAUGAACAUCAUAACUGGAGUUGCUGUGGGUUUUGUUUGCAUAUCUAUUAUGAUGUUUAUUGCUUGGUGGUUAGUAGUGAAGAGGAAAGGGAGCAAAGCGCAAGAUUCAAGUAUUCUGGAAGCAGGACAGAUUCAACUGCAAUCGAAGGAAGUUAAUAUUGGCGAUUUGCCAAAGUUCACCUUCGAGAUGCUUGCUAAUGCAACACACCAGUUCCAUGUACAUAAUCUUCUCGGGAGGGUCCUGUUUACAAGCGAGUUUUGGCAAAUGAGAAAGUAAUUGCUGUGGAAAGACUAUCAGCAGAAUCUGGACAAGGAAUGCAAGAAUUCAUGAAUGAAGUGAUUGUCAUUUCCAAACUCCAACACAAGGAUCUUGUCAAAUUGUUGGGAGGUUGUGUUGAGAAAGAAGAGAAGAUUCUGAUAUAUGAAUACAUGCCAAACAAAAGCUUAGACGCUUGUCUCUUUGGUCAUAAGAAUCUCCCAAAGAAGUAAUAUGCGUUCCAGCAUUAUCGAGGGCAUCGGGCGAGGCAUCCUGUACCUUCAUAAAGACUCAAGACUAAGGAUCAUUCACAGAGACCUUAAGCCAAGUAAUGUUCUGCUAGAUCAAGACUGGAAUCCAAAAAUCUCUGAUUUUGGGAUGGCAAGAAUAUUCGGAGGGAAUGAAGACCAUGGCAGUAUUGCAAACAUAGCGUGGAAAAUGUGGAGUGAGGGUAACGGUUUGAGUUUCGUGGAGGAAGGCAUCGCAAGUAGGGAGACGGAGGAAGAGAUAGUUCGAAGCAUUCAGAUAGGGCUGCUUUGUGUCCAAAAAUAUCCCAAGGAUAGACCUUCCGUUGAAGUCGUGCUGUCGAUGCUGAGUCGUGAUAUUAUGGAGCUGCCAGUGCCCAAGCAGCCCGUGUUUGCGGAAAAUGGUUCGACACCAGGCCCCAAUGGAUCUACUCCAGUAACGAGCUCACUGUUAGUGUGCUUGAUAGACGAUGAAUUUAUUUCCU